Molecule: ribosomal RNA, 410 nt
Filed under: uncultured microorganism
Description: bacterial SSU rRNA
Rfam family: Bacterial small subunit ribosomal RNA
Source: RNAcentral
CAGCCGCCGCGGUAAUACGGAGGAUGCAAGCGUUAUCCGGAAUGAUUGGGCGUAAAGCGUCCGCAGGUGGCAGUUCAAGUCUGCUGUCAAAGACCGGGGCUUAACUUCGGAAAGGCAGUGGAAACUGAACAGCUAGAGUAUGGUAGGGGCAGAGGGAAUUCCUGGUGUAGCGGUGAAAUGCGUAGAGAUCAGGAAGAACAUCGGUGGCGAAGGCGCUCUGCUGGACCAUAACUGACACUCAGGGACGAAAGCUAGGGGAGCGAAUGGGAUUAGAUACCCCAGUAGUCCUAGCCGUAAACGAUGGAUACUAGGUGUUGUCUGUAUCGACCCGGACAGUGCCGUAGCUAACGCGUUAAGUAUCCCGCCUGGGGAGUACGCACGCAAGUGUGAAACUUAAAGGAAUUGGCGGG